UACGGGGGGUGCGAGCGUUGUCCGGAAUCACUGGGCGUAAAGGGCGCGUAGGUGGCGUGAUAAGGGUGUGGUGAAAGCCCGGGGCUCAACCCCGGGUCUGCCAUGCCGACUGUCAGGCUAGAGUACUGUAGGGGCAGGCGGAAUUCCGGGUGUAGCGGUGGAAUGCGUAGAGAUCCGGAGGAACACCUAUUGCGAAGGCAGCUCGCUGGGACGUGACUGACGCUGAGACGCGAAAGCGUGGGGAGCAAACAGG
This 253-nucleotide ribosomal RNA is filed under the name uncultured bacterium. RNAcentral's name for it is "partial 16S ribosomal RNA". It matches the Rfam family "Bacterial small subunit ribosomal RNA", at positions 524 to 776 of the family's 1533-position model. The record is from RNAcentral.